Molecule: transfer RNA, 72 nt
Filed under: Phrynosoma platyrhinos (Desert horned lizard)
Lineage: Eukaryota; Metazoa; Chordata; Lepidosauria; Squamata; Phrynosomatidae
Description: tRNA-OTHER
Source: RNAcentral
GACAGCAUGGUGUAAUGGUUUGAGCAUUGGACUAUGACUCUGGAGACCAGGGUUUGAAUCCCAGCUCAGCCA